Molecule: long non-coding RNA, 420 nt
Organism: Mus musculus (house mouse)
Lineage: Eukaryota; Metazoa; Chordata; Mammalia; Rodentia; Muridae
Product: predicted gene, 39311
Exons: 3
Source: RefSeq, a predicted model, not a curated record
GGAGAAACUGCCAGGGUGUUGGAGAAUUCAGCCUUGUUCCGGCACAGUGACUGCAGGGGAGAAGUUGUGAAUUUCUGGAACUGUCCGCAUCUACUGCAAUAAGAAGAUUCUUCAAUGAGGGUGCAACUGGUCAGGGCUGGUUGGUCCUAAGUCAAGAAAAUCAGCUUCCCACCAUUCACUGAGAGCAUGCCAGCUGUUCCCACAAUACCCUAGGAUCCAGUGCUUUCCAAAUCAACACCAUGGGUGCUGACCCCCUGGGUGGGUUGCUUCCCACUCCCCACCAUCCUUGCUAAUUUCUACUAAGGAUGAUUUGAUUCUUACCAUGCUGGUAAGUGACCUGUAAGAGCUGCAGACCUUGUUCUGAGAUACACAUCUCUGAGUUCACAGUGAGCAUUCAAUAAAUAUUUGAAUUAAAUCACA